Molecule: ribosomal RNA, 253 nt
Filed under: uncultured bacterium
Lineage: Bacteria
Description: partial 16S ribosomal RNA
Rfam family: Bacterial small subunit ribosomal RNA
Source: RNAcentral
UACGUAGGGCGCAAGCGUUGUCCGGAUUCACUGGGUGUAAAGGGUGCGCAGGCGGAUUGGCAAGUCAGAGGUGAAAUCUCACGGCUCAACCGUGAAACUGCCUUUGAUACUGCUUAUCUUGAGUUCGGGAGAGGUUGAUGGAAUUCCAGGUGUAGCGGUGAAAUGCGUAGAUAUCUGGAAGAACACCAGUGGCGAAGGCGGUCAACUGGCCCGUAACUGACGCUCAGGCACGAAAGCGUGGGGAUCAAACAGG